Molecule: unclassified non-coding RNA, 403 nt
Filed under: soil metagenome
Description: partial contains 5.8S ribosomal RNA, internal transcribed spacer 2, and large subunit ribosomal RNA
Rfam family: 5.8S ribosomal RNA (bases 1-122)
Source: RNAcentral
GAUGAAGAACGUAGCAAAAUGCGAUACUUGGUGUGAAUUGCAGAAUCCCGUGAACCAUCGAGUUUUUGAACGCAAGUUGCGCCCGAAGCCUUUUGGCCGAGGGCACGUCUGCCUGGGCGUCACGCAUCGCGUCGCCCCCCACAAUUCUUCGUAAGGGGAACUCGUGUUUUGGGGGCGGAUAUUGGUCUCCCGUGCUCACGGCGUGGUUGGCCGAAAUAGGAGUCCCUUCGAUGGACGCACGAACUAGUGGUGGUCGUAAAAACCCUCGUCUUUUGUUUCGUGCUGUUAGUCGCAAGGGAAACUCUAAGAAACCCCAACGUGUCGUCUUAUGACGGCGCUUCGACCGCGACCCCAGGUCAGGCGGGACUACCCGCUGAGUUUAAGCAUAUCAAUAAGCGGAGGA